GUGCUCUAUCAUUUUUGCAGUUCAGUGGAUCGUAGUGUAAAAUACAAAUGUGUAAGCAUUUUGUUGUCGUUUUAUUAACAUCUUGAAAGCUGACUUUGACAAUUCCGCUACUGUCUUCAGAUGACAAAAUACCAAAUGUAAAAAGUAGAUGAAGCCUAUACUAGGGGAGACCGGGGCUAGUUGCAUACAGGGGUAGGUUGAUACACUGUCAAUAUCUUCAUCAUAUAGAAAUAGUUGGCGCCGAGGUUAACUUGAGACGUUUAGGCGUCAGUAUGAGCCGUAUCCUCGUUGAGUGCAACACAAGUUGAUCACCCGGCUGCGAAACUUCAAGCAAAAAUACUGUCUUUGGAUACCCUGAGUUUAUUAAACUUGGUUAGGACCUACAAAAGAAAGACAGAUAGAACCGUUAUGUGCAACACAGCAAUUUUGGAAUUGGCAGGCAAGCUUGUCAUUUGUCAUAAAGAGAGUUUACGAAAAGUUUCUAACGAUUACAAGAUUAAUUUUAUGACCUUACAUCGAUAUUGCAAAAGGAAGGAAGGUACUAGGGCUAGUCCUAUUUCAGCGGGAUACAAACAGCCAAGAUUACUAUUUAGUCCUAAUCGUGAGAAGCUACUGGUUGAGUACAUAUUAAAGGCUUAAAAAAUUCGCUAUGGGUUGACACCUAAAGAAGUACGGGCAUUUGCAUAUGAAUUUCCGGUUAGUAACAUAAUCAAAGUACCAACAAAUUGGAGUAGAACAGAAAUGGCUGGGCCAGACUGAUUUUCCAAUUUCAUGAAAAGGAACCCUACUCUCUCACUGAGAACACCAGAGGCAACAAGUCUUAGCAGAGCCACGAGCUUCAAUAGACACAAUGUUGGACUCUUUUUCAAUAAUCUUGGUGAAGUUUUGGAAAGACAUAAAUUCCAGUGUUAUGUUAUCUGUAAUAUAGAUGAGACAGGCAUAACCACAGUGCAGAAACCAACUCGCAUUGUUGCUGGUAAAGGAGCCAAGCAAGUAGGAGCGAUGACAUUUGGUGAGAGAGGAGCUCUUGUGACACUAGCUACCGCGAUCAGUGCUAGUGAUAUCACAGUUCCGCCAAUGUUUGUGUUCACUCGAGUUAAUUUCAGGGAUAAUUUUAUCAGGGAUGGACCUCCUUGAUGCAUUGGAGCAACACACCAAUCUGGGUGGAUGACUGAGGAAAACUUCAUAAUCUUUAUGAAACAUUUUGUGUCUGUGACAAAGUGCACAAAAGACAAAGCUGUUCCAAUCCUUCUUGCCAAUCAUGACUCCCGUGUAAGUUUAGAGCUGAUAGACUACUACAGGGACAAUGGAGUUGUCCUUGUCACUUUCCCACCUCACUGUUCACACAGGCUUCAACCUGUGGAUGUAAGCAUUUAUGGAUCCUUUAAAAAUACUUUAAUGCCUCAAGUGACAGCUGGCUGAAAAAUCAUCCUGGAAAGAAAAUGGCCAUAUAUGAUUUGCAAAGAAUUGUUGCCAGUGCAUUGCCCAAGGCCACAACUAUGGAAAACAUACAAAAAGGCUUCAAGGUGAAAGGUAUUCAUCCCUACAAUCGGGAUUUCUUUGGGGAUGAUGAAUUCCUUCCUGCUGAUGUUACUGAUCGUCCAGAAGAAAAUCCACAGGAUAGUCAUGUUGUAGAAGCCACAGAAAUGGAUAUUGAAACCAAAGCAAAUGAUGAAAGCCCAUUACAGCCUACUAAAGUUUGCAUAGGCUACACGAUACCUACCUGUGAACCUCCUCAAGACCAUCCAACUCCCCAACACAGAAAAAGCUUUGAGAAUAUGAUUCCAGACCCUGUUGGAAGCACAAGCAAGGAUGGUUUAGAUAGGCCUUACAUAUACCGAUCACCUUCUAUAAAGACAGAACAAAGACCUACAGGAGAAAUCAAAACCCCAGAGGAGCUGCGACCAUUUAAAAAGGCAAGCCCAAGAAAGACUCAAAGAUGCAACAAAAGAAAACGCUACACAGCAAUACUAACAGACACACAUGGGAAGAUGAAACUACAUUAAAAACUAUGAGGAUUCACAAGGAAAAAGGUUCAAGAGUAAAACCUGUAAAAGGAAUCUGAACAAGAAAAGGUUUCUGAAGUCUGGUGGAAAUAAGAACAGAAAGAACAUUGAAGAUUAUUGGUGUCUUGCAUGUGGUGGUGAAUGGUCAAAUUCAACCUCAGGGGAGCAAUGGGUGCAAUGCAUCAAAUGCAAAGAUUGGGCCCGUGAGAGUUGCACGAAUGAAAGUUCUCAUUAUGCAUGUGACCUGUGUAAAAUAAAGUGCUGACUGAUUUCUUUUGGUUUUCAAACAAAGUGAUUCUUUUUAUAUUUUGUAACAAUAUACCCCAUGGUCUGUAACAACUUGCCUUGCAUAUGGGGCAAGUUGUAUACAAAAAAGUUUUUCUACUAUUUUGUAUUAUAUUACAGGAAUUGAGAAGUAUAUACACUUCUUGUUACAUGAUUAUGAUAUCACAUAUGAUAAACUUUU
Molecule: long non-coding RNA, 2472 nt
Organism: Macrobrachium nipponense
Lineage: Eukaryota; Metazoa; Arthropoda; Malacostraca; Decapoda; Palaemonidae
Exons: 4
Source: RefSeq, a predicted model, not a curated record